RNAcentral lists this long non-coding RNA (304 nucleotides) under Panax ginseng (ginseng). RNAcentral's name for it is "long non-coding RNA (PGIN_LNC018790)". Lineage: Eukaryota; Viridiplantae; Streptophyta; Magnoliopsida; Apiales; Araliaceae. The record is from RNAcentral.
AUGUUCAGCCCUUUUACUCCCAAGAAAACCAAGCUCGAACUCUUCUUCAAAUCUUAUACAAGAAGCCUUUACCAAAAGUUAGACUAAGUGAAAUAAUUGAUACUCCAAGCGGGAAGUAAAGAAGAUUUUGAAGUAUUGGCAAAGGAGGGAUUCAAUUCCUACAUAAUCAAGCUCAGAGCAAGAUUUCAACUAUAAUAGCAAGCAAAAAUAGAAGGCAAGUUAUGUUUUAUUGGCAAAAUUCAUAAAAUUUGAGUAAAUAAUAGUUAUUAAUUGUUAUGAUUGGUUGUGGGAGGUUGUAUUAUUG